RNAcentral lists this ribosomal RNA (253 nucleotides) under uncultured bacterium. RNAcentral's name for it is "partial 16S ribosomal RNA". It matches the Rfam family "Bacterial small subunit ribosomal RNA", at positions 524 to 776 of the family's 1533-position model. The record is from RNAcentral.
UACGUAGGUGGCAAGCGUUGUCCGGAUUUACUGGGCGUAAAGAGCGCGCAGGCGGCUGACCAAGUCCGAUGUGAAAGCUCCCGGCUCAACUGGGAAACGGCAUCGGAAACUGAUCGGCUUGAAGGUGGGAGAGGGUAGUGGAAUUCCCGGUGUAGUGGUGAAAUGCGUAGAUAUCGGGAGGAACACCAGUGGCGAAGGCGACUACCUGGCCCACUCUUGACGCUGAGGCGCGAAAGCUAGGGGAGCAAACGGG